Molecule: RNA transcript, 3773 nt
Organism: Juglans microcarpa x Juglans regia
Lineage: Eukaryota; Viridiplantae; Streptophyta; Magnoliopsida; Fagales; Juglandaceae
Exons: 12
Source: RefSeq, a predicted model, not a curated record
CUCUUUACCAUCCAUUCAAUGGGGUGCAGUCUGGGGUUUCGUCGUUCUCAGUUCGCCGAGCAACAUCAAGCAGAAGCAUUCAAUGAGCAUAUAAGGAACCUCAAACUGCUUCUUAGCUAGAACUUAAGGAGCCUAGGAUUUGGCAUCUUUUCAAGUUAACAUCCAUGGUUGAAGAUGGAAAUCCGUUUAUCAAGGGAAGGAGAUAGAUAUAACAACUGUCAUUUGUUCUUAUCUGGGUAAGACAAUCCUGGAAAUAUGGCAUCUAACAGGAUAGCCCAAGUCAAAGUCAGAAACUGCUUCCAUCUGAUAAUGUUGUCUCAAUGCAACUAGUUGAAAUAUUCUGUUGGUUCUGGAGAGGAGACUCAUUAAAAAAUGCACUUUAGUGCCGGUGGGCCCAAUUUGUUGCCUCUAAGUUGCGUUCAUGAAACUGUGGAGAGUGUUUAUCCGCCAUCUCCCUCCAAUAACAAGGAUUCUGAAAGACAAUAUGAAGAGAAAUUCAAUUUUGGCUUUCUCAACUGUGCUGAUGUCAAUGAAGCAGUUGAGCUAUCUAUUGCAGCAUCUGAAGCACUGGUUAUACAUGAAUUAGUGAAGCGUGAGUUAGCUUCAAUGGCAUUGCCAACAGAAUCAGUACUUGAAGUUGCCCUACAGGUGAAACAAGCACGGUUGGAGAUUUUGGAAGAGGCCUUCAGUUUCCAAACUGAGGAGAGUGACAUAUGCUAUUCUCUUUCUGACUUGGAUGAUGUUGCUAUGACAGAUGCAUUUGAAGAUGUUGGGUUAUCUUACAAUAACCCUGAUGAUCAGUGUGCUUGUGAUUCAGCUCAAUCUCAUGUCAAGGAAACUCCACUAUUUGAAAAUCGUAGUAUAUUUCACAAUGGAUUAAAUCACAUAGACAUCAGAUCUCAACAAGUAGAUUCUAAUCUUAUUUCUACACACAGACAUUUAGAAGACAAUAUGGGCAUGGACGUGCAGUUAACAAAAGACUUAUGUCCAGGAUCUCUUGAUUGUGAAAGAAAGAGGAAACGUUCUCAUGGUCCUGUUCAGGUUUCAACUACCUCAAAAUUGGCCGCAUAUGUUGAUUCCAUCUUGCACCAGUCUAUCCAGGAAAAUUCAGGCGGUUUAUUUAUGAAACAGGAAGAAGAUGCUCAUGCACUGUCGAAGCAGAAAAAUGCUAGAAGUGUUCCUGCAUUUUUUCUUGGUGAGACAAGCUUUCUAUCGGAAUCAGCAGAUAUUGCCCCGGAUGAAAACUCUUUUGUGCAUGAACUCGAGUGCAUGUCCAAAUUUGGUUCACAGUCAAGCGUACAUGUUGAGGGUUCACUUCAAAAGGCUCAUGAAGAGAUAUUGCUUUCUCAAGAUGUGGUUAGAUCUUCGAUUCUAUCUUUUGUCGAUCCUCUCUGUUCUGUUGUUCCUUGUAGUAUUCCUCCGGAAAAUGUCAGUUCGACACAAGGCCACAAUCUGAAUGAUGGAGAAAAUACUAGAAAAAAAUGCUCUAGACCCUUGAGCGAACAUGGGAUGGAGAAUUUGCAAAGGACACUAAACCAAAAUCUGGGACCUGAUCAUGGGGAUAACCAUGCUGCAUACACGGUUAAUAUAGAAGCUUCUGGUGUAUCAACUAGAAGGCAGAUGACCUCACUUAAGACUUAUAGCAUGCUUGUGCCUAACCCUGUAUGCUUUUUGGAAGGGGGAUGCCUUUACUAUAACCAGUCCUUUCAAUUAGAAUAUGAUCAAGGGAAGCUUUCUUCAGAUCAAAAUACGUGCUGCUCCAUGUCUUCUGAUAAAAGGGGUUCUAUCGAGUUCCUACAUUCAAGGCCUGUUUCGAAUUAUGCUGGUGGUAGAAAUAAUGAGGACACUCAGGAAACUACUAUAAACAAUAAUUCAGUUGCAGAAAUGACAAAUCUGAAGAGAAAUUUGGAGAAAACUACCAGAGAAGAGGACAUGUCUCUAAUCCAGCCAUUGGAGAGGAGAAUUUCACCUUGUGUUAUGAAUCAAAGGGCAUCCUGGCAUCUGCUGUCUUCUAAGCAUUCUGUAAAAAGUUUCACCGGACAUCCUAGACAUGCUUUGGUACCAGGAUGCAUUAUUAAGCAUCACCAAAGCAAAAUUGUUCAAAAUAUGCAAUCUAAAGGCUAUAAUUUCCAUGACAACCAUGCAAGAAAACGUGUUCAUUUCUCUGAAGCAGAGGAUCUACUCCAGCAAACCAAGAACCCCCCAAAGCAACAAUUUUCACACCAGAACUGCCCAACUCUUAGAGCUCGUAAAGGACCAAAUUUGUCCAAAAAAUGGUCUAGAGCUUAUGGCAUGAAAAGUUGUCUCACAAAAUCGUCUCACAAGGUUAAGAAGAGAUUGAAUUUUCUAGGUAAAGAAUUCCUUGUUACUGGAUUUUCUAGUGAGAAGACAAAGGAAAUUGAAGGACUAAUAUGGAAAUAUGGUGGCAUUGUUCUCUUGGAUAUUCCUUCUCCAAAUUCAAGGGGAAAGGGAAGUGCAAGAGUUAUUUGUCAGCACUCUCCUGUUAUUCUUUGUUUAAAAAAGUUAAAAACUACCAAGUUCUUGUAUGGGUGUGCAGUGAAUGCUAUAAUACUGAAAGUUGAUUGGCUUACCGAUUCAAUUGUAGCAGGUUCUAUUUUACUGCCUGAGAAAUACAUGAUUCUAUCCAACCGAGUUGAUGCAAUAUGUACCAGAAGUGGAAAGCUAGUUCAUCUCAAUAACAAUAUGUAUAUAUUUGAAAGGGUAGGGAUUAUGCUUCACGGGAAGCAUAGUUUCUGCACCAAAUUUGCAAAAAUAUUCAGGCAUGGAGGUGGCCAGGUGUUUAAAACCCUUCAGUGGUUAAUAAAAGAUCUUGACAAUAAAAAGAUUUUUAUCGGUGCCAUCAUUGCUGAGGAUGAGAGUACAGUAUCACGUCAGUUGAAACACUGUGCGGCAGAGCGAGAAAUACUCAUGAUGCCAGCCAGCUGGAUCAUUAAUAGCUUACAUUCAGGAAAGCUCCUUCCUAUUGCAGAGAAAAACUACUACUUGCCUUUGCCAACAAAUAAUAUUCCAGAGGCUCCUAUUUCCAUGGGGUGGAGUGAAGAAAUAUGAACUUCGUUUCUACCACAGGUAUUGGAUACGAUUGGAACAAAUAAAGAUUAACUCCAUUCUUCUCUAGCUAAGCUAUGCCAGUUUGAAGAAAAAAGUCGAUGUAGCAUGUAGGUUUAGGAUGCUUAAAAUAAAAUCUUAAGCUGACAUUACCGUUCAAAGAUUUGAACUUCAGGCACAACAUAAUUUUAUAGGUUGAGGACAGGCAUGCUCCAACUUCUCUGAUGGCCUUGUUGCUCUUUUGUUUAGAUUACCAGUGUAGCAGGUUGAACUAUAAAAGUUUAGAGGUGGCUUUAAUAGUUACCGAUUCUAAACUUUUUUUAUUGAGUCAGCUUCAAGUGCUAAUAAGAACUUAUCCAUAGAUGUUUAUGCCUGUGUUUGAUAUACUUUUCUCACUUGAAGAAACAGCUUAAAAGAGUUAACAAGGUGCUGAUCUCCUGUGAAACAUCCACUACGGGUGAAGAGGAAACAGUGGGAGACAACCAUUGAUAGGGCACUGUUUAUUUUUCUGUCAAUUUUCACAGGAACAUUGGCAGUGUAGAUAAGGUGCUGGAUAGCACACAAGAGAAACAAGCUUCAGACUGGAAAUUGGAAAAUUUUAUCAUAUCUAUCUUGGUGCUUGUUUAUUGCCAAUAGUAUGCAAAGCUGCCUUCCAAGAAAUGAAAUGGGCAUUGUUUCGUUUUCAGCAGUUGCUUCUUGUAUUGUAU